AGUUGGGGCCUGGUCAACAGGGGUCCAGGAGCUGAGGCCUGGUUGGUGGGCCGUCUAGCAGUUGAGGCCUGGUCAUCUGGGCCCGGCAUUUGGGGCCUGAUCGGCGGGGAUCAGAGCAGUGAGGCCUAGUCAGUGAGGUGUGGAUGUGGGGGCCUGGAUGGACGUGGAGGAAGACGUGGCUACCCUACUUGCACAGGAGCAGGGGGCAUCAUUGCCCAGUGUGAGCAGUGAGACGUAGCUGCCACCCAUCAGUGCCCUGGAAGUGAAGAGAAGACAUCAGGAGAUGAGGGACACAGAAAAAUGGCUCCAGGUGCUUCUCGACUGCCAGCGACAUAGGAGCGGCAAGGAGAGCAAGUAAUGACGCCCUCCUCCCAGACUUGCCCCAAAGCCCCCCAGAGCUUGGUGGUGUCCCAGGACGGUCCUCCCAGGAAACAUUUUGAAUAAGUUGCUGAAGUGCCUGAUGGACGUGGCUCUCGUCACGAAAUGAGUUUGGAUCCGAGAAGCCCUCUUCUUCAUCGGAAAACAGGGAAGGGUCUGCAGAGGGGCCUGGAAUGGGGAGGUUUGGGGGC
Long non-coding RNA from Homo sapiens (human), 569 nucleotides. Ensembl annotates it as long intergenic non-protein coding RNA 661. Lineage: Eukaryota; Metazoa; Chordata; Mammalia; Primates; Hominidae. The record is from Ensembl.